GCCACGCCAUGGUGAGCAAGCUUGGGGACGAGUCUUCCAGCCUUGGGAUGACAGAGCUCCGGACGACAGCUGGACGGCAACCUCCUGGGAGACCCUGAGCCAGAACCAGCCAGAAAAUAGCGCUCCUGUAUUCCUAAAACCAGAAAACGUGGAGUGAUUUAUCUGAUGGACAAAUUUCAAAAGGAAGAACUGAGUACUGUUUUCCUUGUGAGAGCUGUUGGCUCCUGGGUAGAGAUUUUCACGAUUGCUCCUGGGGGCUGGCUGUCCCCAACACCAGCGGCCCAUAAUGCCAUGACUGCAUGGUAUCUGCUUCCCAGAGAACCCAAGUGACACCAAGAGUCACCCAAGAAAGCAGGCAGUGAAGAUGCAGUUUCAGGACUGGACCACUGACCACCCAUCUGGU
Microcebus murinus (gray mouse lemur) is the source of this 403-nucleotide non-coding RNA. The record is from RefSeq and is a predicted model, not a curated record. NCBI's taxonomy places the organism in Eukaryota, Metazoa, Chordata, Mammalia, Primates, Cheirogaleidae.